GUUCUCUUUAUUUCAGCUAAACUUUCAUUUACAAAUGACUAUGGAUAAGCAAAGAGUGUCUUCCUUUGCCAUAUUUGAAGGUGGAACAUCUGUUUUUCUAGAGCAAUACACACAUAUAAGCAGCCAUGUAUAUGCGCAUAGAUUUACAUACAAACAUAUAGUAGCAAAAUCAUCAGCUAAAAAAAUCACGUGUCUUCAGUUUAGAAUUCUAGUAACUGGUAUUUAUUGUGAAGGGCUGGAUCUAAAUGAUGGCUAGUACCAAAAACUGUUUUACAGGUUGCAUUCAGGACCAAGGUAUUCCAUCCCAACAUUAACAGCAAUGGCAAUAUUUGCCUGGACAUACUCAAAGAACAAUGGAGUCCUGCUCUCACCAUAUCAAAGGUCGUAUUGGGGGACCUUUAUUCAUUGAUGUCAUUAUUAUAGUUUGUUUCUGUUUGUAGUAAAUGCUAACUGGUUGUCAAAAAUCAUGAUGCAGGUGCUGCUUUCUAUCUGUUCUCUGCUAACGGAUCCAAACCCCGAUGACCCUUUGAUGCCUGAAAUUGCUCACAUGUGCAAGACCGACAAAGUCAAGUAUGAGUCCACUGCUAGAAGCUGGACCCAGAAGUAUGCCAUGGGCUAAAGCUCUCUGCUUUCUUGCCUCCUCCUUUGGAAUUAUCUUUUUGCUCUUUAAAAACCUUCUCUUUUAUAGUAUUAUUAUUCAUUAAUAUAUAUACAUAUGACUGUGAAGCUUGAGCAUUACUGAAUAACUUGUAUACACAUGAGAAUUGUUCUCAAAGGCUUUACCUUUGUGAUUGGAGCUUUGCUCUCUAUGAAUAAAUGCUACUCUGAUUUGGAGCUUUUCUAUGUAUUCCCAUUGAAAAUAAUACCAAUACUAAAUUGUCGUAUACUUCCUUGAGUCAAGAAACAACUAAUAACUUGUUUACGCAGGUAGGUUCCCACGGUCCCAGAUCACUGGUUAGGUUUUCUGAAUUAUAUACAAGUAGUAAAGGUAGCAAUUAUUGCAGAAUAUAUGAGAUUAAUAUUCUGAUUUAGUAAAUGCAACAAGCAGUGUAUGAGCAUCUUUAAGAGCAAAAACAUGAUUAGCACGCAAAUGAAAUUCGAAAUUAGACAUUAGUGAUGCCAUGUCAAGCACGUAAAGCUACAUGAAACUUGCUAAUAAUAGGAUUUGAUGGUCUGCUUAUGGUUGGCGUUAUUACAUAAAGAAUAAGGCUUACAGCAUCAUAUUCUUGGACCAAAUAAUCCUCUUGCAUCGUUACAAAGAUGCAGUUGAGUAUUCCACAACACCUCUCUCAUAUCUGAUGCUACACCAUUCUCAGGCUUCAACUGCUUCCAUCUUCGUCCUUUCUAUUCAACCUUCCUAGUUUUUUUAUUCAAAUGGAAGCUUCUACUUCUGUUUUUUGUUCUCGAUUGAUCGUUACAUUUUACCAAUUUUUGUAGAUAGAUCUGACAUGUUAAAUAAAUAAAUAAG
This 1468-nucleotide long non-coding RNA is filed under the name Vigna radiata. RNAcentral's name for it is "long non-coding RNA (VRAD_LNC001437)". The record is from RNAcentral. Lineage: Eukaryota; Viridiplantae; Streptophyta; Magnoliopsida; Fabales; Fabaceae.